This 393-nucleotide ribosomal RNA is filed under the name uncultured bacterium. Its description in RNAcentral is "partial 16S ribosomal RNA". It matches the Rfam family "Bacterial small subunit ribosomal RNA", at positions 523 to 918 of the family's 1533-position model. The record is from RNAcentral.
AUACGGAGGAUCCGAGCGUUAUCCGGAUUUAUUGGGUUUAAAGGGAGCGUAGGCGGACGCUUAAGUCAGUUGUGAAAGUUUGCGGCUCAACCGUAAAAUUGCAGUUGAAACUGGCAGUCUUGAGUGCAGUAGAGGUGGGCGGAAUUCGUGGUGAAGCGGUGAAAUGCUUAGAUAUCACGGAGAACUCCGAUUGCGAAGGCAGCUCACUAGACUGUUACUGACACUGAUGCUCGAAAGUGUGGGUAUCAAACAGGAUUAGAUACCCUGGUAGUCCACACAGUAAACGAUGAAUACUCGCUGUUUGCGAUAUACAGUAAGCGGCCAAGCGAAAGCAUUAAGUAUUCCACCUGGGGAGUACGCCGGCAACGGUGAAACUCAAAUGAAUUGACGGGG